Molecule: transfer RNA, 72 nt
Filed under: Phrynosoma platyrhinos (Desert horned lizard)
Lineage: Eukaryota; Metazoa; Chordata; Lepidosauria; Squamata; Phrynosomatidae
Description: tRNA-OTHER
Rfam family: tRNA (bases 7-65)
About the family: Transfer RNA (tRNA) molecules are approximately 80 nucleotides in length. Their secondary structure includes four short double-helical elements and three loops (D, anti-codon, and T loops). Further hydrogen bonds mediate the characteristic L-shaped molecular structure. tRNAs have two regions of fundamental functional importance: the anti-codon, which is responsible for specific mRNA codon recognition, and the 3' end, to which the tRNAs corresponding amino acid is attached (by aminoacyl-tRNA synthetases). tRNAs cope with the degeneracy of the genetic code in two manners: having more than one tRNA (with a specific anti-codon) for a particular amino acid; and 'wobble' base-pairing, i.e. permitting non-standard base-pairing at the 3rd anti-codon position.
Source: RNAcentral
ACCAGUGUGACAUAGUGGUUUAAGUGUUGGACUAUGACUCUGGAGAUCAGGGUUCAAUUCCCUGCUAGGCCA